UACGGGGGGGGCAAGCGUUGUUCGGAAUUACUGGGCGUAAAGCGCACGUAGGCGGAUAUUUAAGUCAGGGGUGAAAUCCCAGAGCUCAACUCUGGAACUGCCUUUGAUACUGGGUAUCUUGAGUAUGGAAGAGGUAAGUGGAAUUGCGAGUGUAGAGGUGAAAUUCGUAGAUAUUCGCAGGAACACCAGUGGCGAAGGCGGCUUACUGGUCCAUAACUGACGCUGAGGUGCGAAAGCGUGGGGAGCAAACAGGG
This 254-nucleotide ribosomal RNA is filed under the name uncultured bacterium. RNAcentral's name for it is "partial 16S ribosomal RNA". It matches the Rfam family "Bacterial small subunit ribosomal RNA", at positions 524 to 777 of the family's 1533-position model. The record is from RNAcentral.